Long non-coding RNA from Cicer arietinum (chickpea), 455 nucleotides. RefSeq lists it as uncharacterized. NCBI's taxonomy places the organism in Eukaryota, Viridiplantae, Streptophyta, Magnoliopsida, Fabales, Fabaceae. The record is from RefSeq and is a predicted model, not a curated record.
CUAUUCUCAUUUGUUUUCUUAGGAUUUUGGUUAUGCACAUUUCACUGAUUUCAUUUGUAAUGCUGCUGGCGUUACUGUUACUAACCGUAUACUUGUGCUCUUUGUUUUUUGAACUUUCCAAAUACUUACCUGCCUUCUUGGUCUUGUGCUUAAAUGGUCGUUUGAUCAUUGAUCCAUGUUUUUCUUUUUGAAAUUAUCUUAACAUGCGUAUGAUGUUAAUUAACUAUGAGCUAAUUUGUGAUUAUAUUUGCUAAUCAUGAACAUUAUGUGCUAUCACUGCAACCUUUUGAGUUGAUGUAGAGUGGAAACUGCAAUUAGAGUCACUCAAGAAGGGGCAUCAAUGAAAAUACCAAAACUUAGGGUUGGAAAAAUAAAUGGGGGCAAACUGGGGCUUUACUCUCCAUGAACCAACAGUGGCACAAACAAUUGUAAGUGAAUGCAAUUUUGGCUGUGAA